CUACGGGGUGCUCCAGUGGGGAAUAUUGCACAAUGGGCGAAAGCCUGAUGCAGCCAUGCCGCGUGUGUGAAGAGGGCCUUCGGGUUGUAAAGCACUUUCAGUAGGGAGGAAAGGGUGUACGUUAAUACCGUGCAUCUGUGACGUUACCUACAGAAGAAGCACCGGCUAACUCCGUGCCAGCAGCCGCGGUAAUACGGAGGGUGCGAGCGUUAAUCGGAAUUACUGGGCGUAAAGCGUGUGUAGGCGGUUAUUUAAGCGAGAUGUGAAAUCCCGGGGCUCAACCUCGGAACUGCAUUUCGAACUGGAUAACUAGAGUUUUGUAGAGGGUGGUGGAAUUUCCAGUGUAGCGGUGAAAUGCGUAGAGAUUGGAAGGAACAUCAGUGGCGAAGGCGGCCACCUGGACAAAAACUGACGCUGAGACACGAAAGCGUGGGGAGCAAACAGGAUUAGAUACCCGAGUAGUC
This 464-nucleotide ribosomal RNA is filed under the name uncultured bacterium. RNAcentral describes it as "partial 16S ribosomal RNA". It matches the Rfam family "Bacterial small subunit ribosomal RNA", at positions 339 to 795 of the family's 1533-position model. The record is from RNAcentral.